GAGUUUGAUCGAUGGCUCAGGACGAACGCUGGCGGCGCGCCUAACACAUGCAAGUCGAACGAGAGAGAAGGAGCUUGCUUCUUCGAUCGAGUGGCGAACGGGUGAGUAACGCGUGAGGAACCUGCCUCAAAGAGGGGGACGAACAGUUGGAAACGACUGCUAAUACCGCAUAAGCCCACGGGUCGGCAUCGACCUGAGGGAAAAGGAGUGAUCCGCUUUGAGAUGGCCUCGGCGUCCGAUUAGCUAGUUGGUGAGGUAACGGCCCACCAAGGCGACGAUCGGUAGCCGGACUGAGAGGUUGAACGGCCACAUUGGGACUGAGACACGGCCCAGACUCCUACGGGAGGCAGCA
This 352-nucleotide ribosomal RNA is filed under the name uncultured bacterium. Its description in RNAcentral is "bacterial SSU rRNA". It matches the Rfam family "Bacterial small subunit ribosomal RNA", at positions 9 to 353 of the family's 1533-position model. The record is from RNAcentral.